AUUGAACGCUGGCGGCAUGCCUUACACAUGCAAGUCGAACGGCAGCACGGGAGCAAUCCUGGUGGCGAGUGGCGAACGGGUGAGUAAUAUAUCGGAACGUGCCCAGUCGUGGGGAUAACGUAGCGAAAGCUACACUAAUACCGCAUACGAUCUAUGGAUGAAAGCGGGGGAUCGCAAGACCUCGCGCGAUUGGAGCGGCCGAUAUCAGAUUAGGUAGUUGGUGAGGUAAAGGCUCACCAAGCCGACGAUCUGUAGCUGGUCUGAGAGGACGACCAGCCACACUGGGACUGAGACACGGCCCAGACUCCUACGGAGGCAGCAGUGGGGAAUUUUGGACAAUGGGACGCAAGCCUGAUCCAGCAAUGCCGCGUGCAGGAUGAAGGCCUUCGGUUGUAACUGCUUUGUAC
RNAcentral lists this ribosomal RNA (407 nucleotides) under uncultured bacterium. Its description in RNAcentral is "bacterial SSU rRNA". It matches the Rfam family "Bacterial small subunit ribosomal RNA", at positions 30 to 440 of the family's 1533-position model. The record is from RNAcentral.